RNAcentral lists this long non-coding RNA (1187 nucleotides) under Phasianus colchicus (ring-necked pheasant). RNAcentral describes it as "lncRNA (ENSPCLG00000020229.1)". Lineage: Eukaryota; Metazoa; Chordata; Aves; Galliformes; Phasianidae. The record is from RNAcentral.
CUCAUAUGCAGACACUAUUCAACAAUGCAGAUACAUUUUGUUUCAGCUCAGCUUCACUGUGAUUUGAAUUUGUUUUACUUCAUCUCUGCUUGCUCCUGAUGGUAUACAAAUACAGCAGUUUAAUGCAGGUAAAAUUAUAUCCCUUUUGGCGUGGUACAGCAAAGAACAUGCAAAUCUUCUGUUAUAUGGUGUCUGGUGGCUGAACUAAUCCAGGCAGAGGAAUAACAUAUCAUGUAGAUGCUCAGCAGUUUCUGUAACUCAUAAAGUUAUUUCAAUUUUUGCAUAGCUGCAGCAUGAGCCUGGCAGAACAGAGACCUAAAUCUUUCAUUCUAUAUAUUCCCAUCAUAGUAUUAGCUAGAUAGAAAGCAAAUGGUGAAUUUGUUUCUUCUCAAGGCUCUGAGAAAACUCACAAAACUGCCCACCAACCAGUUGCUACAUAAAGUGCUAUAAUUUCAAAAACUAACAUUGGUGCUAGCACUUUCUCCCUGUGUGAUCUUGUUCAUUUGAUGCACUUCAUCUUUACCAGAAGGGUUAGAAACUGGCUUAAUUCAUCCAGGUGCUAAUCACUGUGCUGAACAGACUUAGCUAUUAUAUAUUAAACUUCUUGCACCUGUCACUACAUUUUCUACAACUUGCAACAAAUAACUCUGGAACUCUCUAGCUUUUUAAUGCUGUAUAAUCUACUUUUUUGUCAGUUGUAGUGUUGUUCACCUAAACCAUGAAAGUAUUCAGUAUCUGCGAUCAUUGGGCUGUUUUCUCUAAGGAGCUGGGACUAUCCCUUAAAGCUUAUAGGAAGGUGGAGCUAUUCUUCCUGAUGGGACUGUUCUCAAGGUAGGGCUGCUCCCAGGGUUGAAGAGGUACAGUACUCUACAAUUGGGUGUACACUACCGGGUGUGCAGAGAUGUUGCUUUGUAUUUACCUGACUGAAGGCCAGCUAUACUGUUAAUGCAUAUGACUAGUUAAAAGGCAGUUUUUCAGACAUAUUUUUCCACACUGGGAUAUGCCAUUGAUACAUCAGAAGGUAUGUAACCAUCUAACUCUGAACGUGGAAAUCAGAGUGUGUACUUUGACCCGGUGUAUGGAUAAUAUAAGAAUCUAGAAUGUCUAAACAUGUGGAUGCCAUGCCUUACAGUGCUCUUUGUAGCUGCUGAGAAUCAACCAGACUUUCUGAAAUGACAUUCAUGUCU